GAGUGAGAUGAUGCUUUACCAUCUUUCGGGACUUACCCAUUAAUGGGGAUAACUUUCUUUCUACUGAUCACUC
This is a small nucleolar RNA of Chelmon rostratus (copperband butterflyfish), 73 nucleotides long. RefSeq annotates it as small nucleolar RNA SNORD2. The transcript has a single exon. The record is from RefSeq and is a predicted model, not a curated record. NCBI's taxonomy places the organism in Eukaryota, Metazoa, Chordata, Actinopteri, Chaetodontiformes, Chaetodontidae.